CAGCCGCCGCGGUAACACGGAGGGUGCAAGCGUUAAUCGGAAUUACUGGGCGUAAAGCGCACGCAGGCGGUCUGACAAGUCAGAUGUGAAAUCCCCUGACUUAACCUGGGAACUGCAUUUGAAACUGUCAGGCUGGAGUCUUGUAGAGGGGGGUGGAAUUCCAGGUGUAGCGGUGAAAUGCGUAGAGAUCUGGAGGAAUACCGGUGGCGAAGGCGGCCCCCUGGACAAAGACUGACGCUCAGGUGCGAAAGCGUGGGGAGCAAACAGGAUUAGAUACCCCGGUAGUUUCUGUCUCUUAUAA
Molecule: ribosomal RNA, 301 nt
Filed under: uncultured bacterium
Lineage: Bacteria
Description: partial 16S ribosomal RNA
Rfam family: Bacterial small subunit ribosomal RNA
Source: RNAcentral